RNAcentral lists this ribosomal RNA (440 nucleotides) under uncultured bacterium. RNAcentral describes it as "partial 16S ribosomal RNA". It matches the Rfam family "Bacterial small subunit ribosomal RNA", at positions 338 to 795 of the family's 1533-position model. The record is from RNAcentral.
CCUACGGGAGGCAGCAGUGGGGAAUAUUGCACAAUGGGGGAAACCCUGAUGCAGCGACGCCGCGUGAGUGAAGAAGUAUUUCGGUACGUAAAGCUCUAUCAGCAGGGAAGAAAAUGACGGUACCUGACUAAGAAGCCCCGGCUAACUACGUGCCAGUAGCCGCGGUAAUACGUAGGGGGCAAGCGUUAUCCGGAUUUACUGGGUGUAAAGGGAGCGUAGAAGGCAGCGCAAGUGUGGAGUGAAAUCCCAUGGCUUAACCAUGGAACUGCUUUGGAAACUGUGCAGCUAGAGUGCAGGAGAGGUAAGCGGAAUGUCUAGUGUAGCGGUGAAAUGCGUAGAUAUUAGGAGGAACACCAGUGGCGAAGGCGGCUUACUGGACUGUAACUGACGUUGAGGCUCGAAAGCGUGGGGAGCAAACAGGAUUAGAUACCCCAGUAGUC